This 2508-nucleotide long non-coding RNA is filed under the name Homo sapiens (human). Its description in RNAcentral is "non-protein coding lnc-DLGAP5-3:3". The record is from RNAcentral. Lineage: Eukaryota; Metazoa; Chordata; Mammalia; Primates; Hominidae.
AGUCAUGUCGGCCAGGUGCUCCCCAGGCUAGCACUGCCCCGCCCCUGCGUGAUCCGGGAUGGGAGUUUGGAAACUGCUCCCCAUAGGCGGCCGGAGAGGAACGUGAAUCUUUGUCUGUUUCACUCCUCAGCAGCUCACUCUUGGCCCCAGGAGGAAAACGAGAAGGUUAACCAGGCAUAACCCGGAGGUGUAAGUCAGAGAGACAGGGUCUCACUGCAUGCCUGUAGUGCCAGCUACUCAGGAGACUGAGGUGGGAGGAUCUCUUGAGCCCAGGAGGUCGAGGUGGCAGUGGCCCAUGAUUGCAUCACUGUACUCAGUCUGUGAGUAUCUCAAAACAAACAAACAAACAAACAAACAAGGAAAUGGGCACUAAGGGAAAGAAGAGGUUUCUUCUUAAGGCCUGGGGCCAAGCCAAGCCAUCCUCUCUGAGUUUCCUAGGGAGGGGUUCUUCUCUAGCUGCCUGGGUUUGGAAAGAGACCCAGGAAAGGGAAAACAAAAUAAGAAAAGGACAUGCGGUGCAUAGUCAGGAGCUUAGAUCCUCUCCCCCAGCUUGCAGUCUGCUUUCCAGCCCUUGGCCCUGACUCCCAGAAGCCUCUGGCUGUGCUAACAUCCCCAUCAAAUGUGCCUCCAUGCCUCCUCCAUACUCCAUCCCCAUAGUUUUUAUGGGGAAGCACUAUUGGUGCAUCCUAAAUAACAUAGAAAUAAAUAGGGCAAAAUGGGAAAGUUCCCCUCACCGACCCCCACUUCCGCUCCCUUGCUCAGAAAUAACCUGAUAAUAGUUUAGUGUGUAUCCUUCAAGACCUUUCUCCCCCUCCUCCUCCCCCUCGUCCUCCCCCUCCUCCUCCUCCUUCUUCCUAGAUGUUUUUCUAUCAGCUUAUCAAGUCUAACAUGUGAAAUAGUGUGUGCCUGUGUGUACAUACAAAUUGUUUUAAUCCAUACAUGGGAUCAUGCUAUAUGUAGUUUUCUCCAACUUGCUUUUAUCAUUAACAACAUAGCAUAAACUUCUUUCCAUGGUGGUUAAUAUAGAGCUGCCUCAUUUCUUUUCAUGGCUGUGUGAUAAUCCAUGGUAUAUGAUUAUAUAUAAUUUUUUUUUUUGAGACAGAAUCUCACUCUGUUGCCCAAGCUGGAGGUCAGUGUUGUGAUCUCAGCUCACUGCAACCUCCACCUCACGGGUUCAAGUGAUUCUCCUCCUGCCUCAGCCUCCGGAGUAGUUGGGACUACAGGCGCAUGCCACCAUGCCCAGCUAAUUUUUGUAUUUUAGUAGAGACGGGGUUUCACCAUGUUGGCCAGGUUGGUCUCGAACUCCUGACCUCAAGUGAUCCACCUGCCUCAGCCUCCUAAGGUGCUGGGAUUACAGGCGUGAGCCACCGCACCCAGCUGAUUAUAUAUAAUUUAACACUUCCUGUUGCUGGAUGUUUUCGUCGUUUCUCUUUUUCUCUUUGAUGACAAUGCUAUAAUGAACACCUUUGUAUAUGUCUUUGUGCCAUCUACCUGGCUUUGAGUAUUGCCACUGCAGAAAAUUCCUGAUGUUGGGCCCCAAUUAAGCAAGCAGACUCCAAGCUAUCUCUGCUGCCCCCAGGACUCCUUUAGACUCUGGCAGAACAGCAGCCUGCCUCAGUUCCCACACUAUGAUCCUGCACGUGUGGUUGAAGACACACCUGUGGCACAGCCUGCCAGAGUUCUGAAAACUGCCCCCUGCCCCAUCAUGGAGAGGUGCAAAAAUUACAGACACAUAUCCUGUGUCCCUCUGUCCGCUGGGAGGAAGAGCGUCAACUCCUCCGAAAGCAAUCUAGCUGGAGAAAGUGUGCAAGUGGAUUUCUAGCAAUGUUUUUCAGGAUUUUUACUCUUUUGUUCGUGGGAUGGGAGAGAAUCAGUGAGAUAGAGGAUACAAGGAGCUCAAGUGGCAGUAGCAGUCCAAGCCAGCAGUGUGUAUGUGUGUGUAUGUGUGUAUGUUUUGUGUAUAUAUGCAUGUGUGUGUAUUAUGUGGGUAUGUGUGCAUGCGUGUGUGUGUGUGUGUGUGAAUGUCUACAUAUAUGUGCGUGUGUGCGUGUGUGUAUAUGUGUGUACGUGUGUACGUGUGUGGGUGUAUGUGUGCACAUGUGUGUAUAUGUGUGUGUAUGUGUGUUUUUUUUAUGUGUAUGUGUGGUGUGUAGCCAUGAACAGAGACAGCCAAUCCCUGAAGGAAUAUGUUGUACUUUUGUCCUUUAAUAUUUUCAAGCCUGCUGGUCCUGCAAAAAGCAGUAAGAGCUAAUGAGAAGCAGGUGUACUUAGGGAAACAGGAAAUCUGGUUCCAUUUAUGACUUCACCGCGGCCUGCCAUGGAGUUUUGAGCAGCUUUAGUUUGCUGCUCCGUUUCUCAUCUCUGUCUUCUCUGGAGGUGCCAUCUGCACCAUUAGGAUGCAGGAGUUGGCUUUCUUGCUUUUCCUGAAAACAGUACUAGUGCCAUUGGCUGUUAAAAGUGGGAUAUGGGCCAGGUGCGAUGGCUCACACCUGUAAUCCCAACACUUUG